This 93-nucleotide transfer RNA is filed under the name Streptomyces purpurascens. Its description in RNAcentral is "tRNA-Arg(tcg)". The record is from RNAcentral. Lineage: Bacteria; Bacillati; Actinomycetota; Actinomycetes; Kitasatosporales; Streptomycetaceae.
GUCACCGUGCACGAUCAGCAGGGGCGUGGGGGCGAUCCUCGGCACCGCCUCCACCGGGGAGAGGGGGACCGGGUCCCAGUCCCGGUGGUGGAU